UCUUGCACUCCUGGCCUCAAGUAAUCCGCCCGCCUCGGCCUCCCAAAGUGCUGGGAUUAUAGACCUGAGCCACCUCACUGGGCCACCUUUUGUAGAUUAUUGUUUGGAAUGCCCCUCCUAGUUCUCUAAUUGGCUUUCUCGGAUCCCUCUUGACCCCACCCUUUGUCCUUUUAAGGUAUAGACCACACCCCUUCUCUAAUUGAUUCCACCCCUCAGGCCUUAUUAGGGUUGAUGCAACCCUUCCUGCUCUCUAAUUGGUGUUUCCCAUGUCGCUAUAUGUUCCGGAAUGCCUGGCCAUAGCUGAUUGGCCUACCCAUUUCCCUCAAGGCCCCGCCCUUGGGUUGGGAUCGCCCUGCCCCUUCCGGUCUUCCCAAGCACUGGCCACCCAGUCCUUACAUCGUACACAGCUCGUCCGCCCGACCUCGCAGCUCCUGCAAGCCCCGCGCCGUCUGUGCCUGCUCGCGCUGUGCCCGCUCCCACUGGCCCAGGAAGCCGUCGACCCUGCCGCCCAGGCCCCCGAGCAGUCGCAGGGCUUCCUGCACCGCCCCCUCCUCCUGAUGCCACCGGGCGGUCAGCGAGGACACCUCUCUCCUGGAGGGGCAGAGAGGGGGAAUGGGUCGGGGCUAGGCUUGGACAGGUCCCCAUCUGCCCCCACAAGAUAGGCGGAACAGGACUCACCUAUCUCGCCCCACUGAGACCAUGCCGGUGGCUCCAGACCCACCCAGGUCUCCAAAUUUUCUUGCACUCUCCAUUUGGUGAAAUUUGGUCCUGUCUUCCAGAGCCCCGCCUUUAUCCCCUUACUUUACUGGCUGUCUUGGCCCUUCCCUGGUCAGGUCCCCAACCUCUACCUCAGCUCCUCCACACACUGCCCCCCAAGGCACUGUCCACCCUACUCUGCCCCACUUGGUACCUCCAGGACCGCUCCUCUCCCAAGCCCCGCCCACCUCAGUUUCACCAGGCCUGGACCUGCCUCCCAGCAGCCCAGAACUCAAAAAUUCAUUAUUUUGUCCCUCCCUUGCUCAGGUCACUGCCUUCGGGGCACUCCCUCCUCUGCUCUUGGAGACCCCAGGCUUGUCGUCCUCCGGUUAGAAUCUUUGAGGCUCCUCCGCUGUGUCCCCGCCCACUGCAGCUCCUGGAGACUCUGCCCACGACUCUGCCCACCUUCGUUCCUCGAGGCUCCUCCCAUGUCCCCUCCCACCUCAGGUUCUCGAGGCUCCACCGAUAUCACCUCCCACCUCAGCUCCACGAGGCUCCCUGAGUCCCCACCCAUGCCUCUCCUUGAGAACCCCGUCCCUUGGGUCCCGCCCACCGCAGCUCCUCGAGGCUCCACCCCUGAGUCCCCGCCCACCUCGUUUCGAGGCCCCGCCCCUAGGUCCCGCCCACCUCAGCUCCUCGAUGCCGGUGAACACCUUCUGCAAUUCCUGCUCGCUCACGUAGGGGCCCUCACCUGCCCGAGGCCCCAUUCCCCAGCCUGCGGGGACCAGGCCGCGAGGCCGCGAGGGUUUGUCAGGACUCCCUGGCGGGCCGGGGCAGCCCUGGGACGUGGCGGCGGGGCCCAGGCCGUUCCGGGAAAGGCCAGCCUCCGGCUUCUGCUGCUGCUGCUCCGGCUCCUGCUGCUCGGUCUCCUGCCGUCGCGGCGUCUCAUCCUGCAGCUGCUGCUGGAGGUAGCGCAGCUUCUCCUGGUCGCCUGCCUCCAGGUAUCCACCCGGCCCUCCAAGCCUUCCAGGCGUCAAAUACCAGUCCCGGCCACUUGGCAAGAACAACUGAAGCUUUCUCAGCAUUUUGUUGGAAAAUGAGUGGGCAUGUGGACAGGACAGGCCUUCUCACUUGAAGUCCAGCUCGAGUCUCUUUCUGGGACCUGAAUGUGACUGCAGGCUGGUGAUGGAGUCUUUGGCGCGGACCAAUCCACUGUUGACCCCACUCUGGGGAAGAAUGGGAGACAGAAUUAUAGUCAAUUUCUGAGUCAUCCCUUAAAGGAAGGAAUAAGAACUUUCCCUUUUUCUCUCAUUUCACUGGAAUGCACAAAUGAGGGCUGUCUUGGACCAGCAGAUAGAGGACACAACGAGACAGAAGGAGCCUGAAUCCUUGACAUGGAGCCACCAUACUCCAUUCCAAUCACCUGUGAAGACUUUCAGGGGAAAGAGAGGCAGAGAGCCAUUUGCCAGCUGGUUAUGACCAAUUCCAGCCAGUGGAAGGGAAGUGGGCACUGGUGGAUGUGUGGAAAAGACAGGCAUGAUCUCUUCCCCUGUUCCUCCUGCUGAAUGGCUGGAAGGCAGUGGUGAGAGCAACUGUCUAGAAAUGGCCGAACAACCAGAACAUAGAUGCCUGUAACCUGCUGCAUUUGAAGAGCAGAGCUACUAUGCUUAUCAAGUCUUUUAUGUGCAAAAAAACCACAGCUCUCUUGAUUUCUCUCAUGGUUGCUGAACUAAUUCACAAAAGAAAGAGAGAACAAGUUUCCUCCCUUGUAAGAUGGGGGCAGCAACACAUUUCUUGCAUGAUUGCUCUGGGGAAGAAGUGUGGUAAGAAAUAUUGUAUCCAGGAGGCGGAGCUUGCAGUGAGCCGAGAUCGCGCCACUGCACUCCGGCCCGGGCGACAGAGACUCCGCCUCAAAAAAAAAAAAAAAAAAAAAAAAUUGUAUCCAGCUGACAUCAACAAAAUGGUGGAUUAAAGAAUUCAGGCCGGGCACAGUGGCUCACACCUGUAAUCCCAGCACUUUGGGAGGCCAAGGUGGGUGGAUCACUUGAGGU
Macaca mulatta (Rhesus monkey) is the source of this 2747-nucleotide non-coding RNA. The record is from RefSeq and is a predicted model, not a curated record. NCBI's taxonomy places the organism in Eukaryota, Metazoa, Chordata, Mammalia, Primates, Cercopithecidae.